Long non-coding RNA from Phyllopteryx taeniolatus (common seadragon), 1033 nucleotides. RefSeq lists it as uncharacterized. The record is from RefSeq and is a predicted model, not a curated record. The transcript is spliced from 4 exons. Lineage: Eukaryota; Metazoa; Chordata; Actinopteri; Syngnathiformes; Syngnathidae.
AUUCGUCGUGUUCUCGCGAGGUUGUGACGUUAUAAAGGCGGAAGUCGUUUCGUUUAGUCGUGUUUAAGGUCGGAACGUGUCGUCUCUGUUUUCGUUAAUUAAGCUAAAAACGAGUCUUUUUUUUUUUGCGUUUUAGCCAGAAAAACCCCAAUUGUAUGUAAAACAAGGUGAUAAGCAACCUAAUGAAAUCCGUAGAUGUCGAAACGUGGAGGUGUUGUCAAAUGUGUCAAAAACGUCGAGAUAAGAAUGGCUUCAAGCGUCACUAUAUUUCCCGAGUUCUACGAGAGCGGCUAAUAGGACUCUGAACGCCUCUGGUGCGUUCAGUACCUGCAACACAGUGGCAAUACAGUGCAGGGAGUUUAAAAACGUCUUUCUGGACCUGCUAUGAAGACUUCUUGGCUGGAAAAGGCGGCUGAAACACCACAAGGGGUCUACGUCCAGUACAUCGCCCGAGACCCUAACGAAGCACAAUGAUGAACAUCUACGAGUGUGAUGUAACGAAAUGGCAAUGAUAAAUUAAUCGUGAAUUCAAUACGAUCGAUUUGUUUGGAUACAGCUUGUAAGAGGAGCAGAGCUGUCCAUGGUGCUGAAAGCUAUUUGUUUGUUCUAAUGACCCAAACAAUGAGUUCACGCUUUCAUAUUUGAGAUUGAAAUAGUGUAACAUAUGUUAUUGGGUACACCUGCACAAAUUAUGCAAUACUUAGUCUUCCUUUGCAAACAUAGUACACAUUUGUUAAAUUGUUUCUACUAUUUGAAUGCAAUGUGGUGAUGUACAACUUUCAAUUGGGUCUGUAAUGGAUCAAAAAAUUAUUCAGAACAUAUGUGUAUGAUGCAGUGCAGUUGUACAGGUGUGCAAACUGUAAAAUUAAACAAAUACCUUGUCUGCCUGCGUCUUUUUGCUUUAGAUUAUGUACUGUAUUGGCUCGUGUAUGUGUACCUAAUGCUAUGUCCCUCGGGAAACUUGCUGUUGUGUGAAAUUUCUUUUUUUGAUUCAUUUUGUGUUUCCCCCAAAUAAAGCAGAUGUCGCACUGCC